ACGGCUCAGUAACACGUAGUCAACAUGCCCAGGGGACGUGGAUAACCUCGGGAAACUGAGGAUAAACCGCGAUAGGUCAUAAUGUCUGGAAUGAUUUAUGGCUGAAAUCUACAUGGCCCCUGGAUUGGACUGCGGCCGAUCAGGCUGUUGGUGAGGUAAUGGCCCACCAAACCUAAAACCGGUACGGACUCUGAGAGGAGAAGCCCGGAGAUGGGCACUGAGACAAGGGCCCAGGCCCUAUGGGGCGCAGCAGGCGCGAAACCUUUGCAAUAAGCGAAAGCUUGACAAGGUUACUCUGAGUGAUUUCCGCUAAGGAGAUCUUUUGGCACCUCUAAAAAUGGUGCAGAAUAAGGGGUGGGCAAGCCUGGUGUCAGCCGCCGCGGUAAUACCAGCACCCCGAGUGGUCGGGACGAUUAUUGGGCCUAAAGCAUCCGUAGCCGGUUCUGCAAGUCUUCCGUUAAAUCCAUCUGCUUAACAGAUGGGCUGCAGAGGAUACUAUAGAGCUAGGAGGCGGGAGAGGCAAGCGGUACUUAGUGGGUAGGGGUAAAAUCCGUUGAUCCACUGAAGACCACCAGUGGCGAAGGCGGCUUGCCAGAACGCACUCGACGGUGAGGGGUGAAAGCUGGGGGAGCAAACCGGAUUAGAUACCCGGGUAGUCCCAGCUGUAAACGAUGCAGACUCGGUGAUGAAUAGGCUUCGUGCCUAUUCAGUGCCGCAGGGAAGCCGUUAAGUCUGCCGCCUGGGGAGUACGGUCGCAAGACUGAAACUUAAAGGAAUUGGCGGGGGAG
RNAcentral lists this ribosomal RNA (788 nucleotides) under uncultured archaeon. RNAcentral's name for it is "bacterial SSU rRNA". It matches the Rfam family "Archaeal small subunit ribosomal RNA", at positions 85 to 876 of the family's 1478-position model. The record is from RNAcentral.